This 313-nucleotide ribosomal RNA is filed under the name uncultured bacterium. RNAcentral's name for it is "bacterial SSU rRNA". It matches the Rfam family "Bacterial small subunit ribosomal RNA", at positions 29 to 348 of the family's 1533-position model. The record is from RNAcentral.
AAUAAACGCUGGCGGCGUGCCUAACACAUGCAAGUCGAGCGAGAAAGUCCUUCGGGAUGAGUAAAGCGGCGGACGGGUGAGGAAAGCGUGAGAAUCUACCCUCUAGUGAAGAAUACCCUCGAGAAAUCGAGGUUAACACUGCAUACGUCCCUUCGGGGAGAAAAGUGGCCUCUUUGCUACUGCUAGAGGAUGAGCUUGCGUGCUAUUAGCUAGUUGGUGGGGUAAUGGCCUACCAAGGCGAUGAUGGCUAGCCGGCCUGAGAGGGUGUACGGCCACAUUGGAACUGAGACACGGUCCAGACUCCUACGGGAGG